This 1127-nucleotide long non-coding RNA is filed under the name Daucus carota (carrot). RNAcentral's name for it is "long non-coding RNA (DCAR_LNC004690)". The record is from RNAcentral. Lineage: Eukaryota; Viridiplantae; Streptophyta; Magnoliopsida; Apiales; Apiaceae.
GCUUUUCUCUCUGUCCUAGCUUUAAGAGUUGAAAAAAGUAAGUUAUACUUUAAACCAAUGCCCCUAGGACGUAAGACCGGAGUCAUGCUAGGACGGCCUUCAAUUGGUGCAAGAGUGCCAUGGUGCUAUUGAUUUGGCCUGAUCAGUGGCUAGCGUCAGAGUUUUGAUGUGAAGAGGCAAAACUAAAGGGAGGGCACUAAAGAGACACAAACGAAAUAAGCAGUCAUUUAUAUUUACCUUUUUGAGCAGUUUCGGUUGCUCAAGCCUCUCCUCCAAUUUUUUAGAAUUCCUGUGCUUUCUAAUCCCGCAAUUCACAACUCCUCUGGGAUCAUAGCAAGUAACAAAUGGUCUGCAUGCAAUUGAACAAACAACACUUGUUCAUCUGUUAGCCACUGGGAUACUUGCAAAUUAAGACAAAACUGCCGCCAGCAGGAACCAAACAUAAAUUAUGCAAUCUUGUAAACAAAACAAUACAUUACUAAUCACUUCUGAUAACAUCAUAGCAGACUUUUAAACCAAAAAGCUUCUGCAGAUGAAGAAAGUCUCUAAUCUUAAGAUGGCUUCAUCAUCAAAGCAUGAAUUGCAACACAAAACCUUGUAAAGAAACAUACAAAAUUCGACUUUUUCAUCGGAAAUUUCAUGCACAUAAUACAGAAUCCAAGCACCUUAUAUUCAUGGAGCCAAGUAUCUGAAGCAGCAAGGUCUCUUUCAACACUGACCACCCUCACCAGCCUCCCUAGAAGCCAAAUUUCAGCCACAACAAAAAAAAAGUCUAAAACACUAAAAAAAAUGAGAAGAACUAAAUUUCAAGAACACAAAAAACCCACAAGAAGACCACAAUCCAGAGACACCAAGAAACCCAAAAAUCAAAAACACUAAUCAAAGGAUAUCUCUAAGUUGAGAGGCUUUAAAUUGGGGAGUGCUCAGUUUCAUAACACUUUUCAUCCUCACGAUGCCAGAAGCUUCCCUUAAAGUACCACCAAAGAAGAUGCUUAAGCAAUUUUGAGCACAAGUAUAUAUGCAUGCAUAAACAUAGAAAGAUCAAAGAAAAAUUCAGUGAAGAAGUGAUUCACCUGGUGCAAAGAAGGAAAGCGGAAGAUUCCCUGGCGCUCCAAACUGCAAGGCAU